RNAcentral lists this long non-coding RNA (2983 nucleotides) under Malus domestica (apple). Its description in RNAcentral is "long non-coding RNA (MDOM_LNC011567)". The record is from RNAcentral. Lineage: Eukaryota; Viridiplantae; Streptophyta; Magnoliopsida; Rosales; Rosaceae.
AUUAAAAGACUUAAAAUUCCUUAAAAUCCCAAUUGAAUACACCCCCUAAAUUUUAAAAUUUGUAUUCAUUCACUACAUAAAUUUCAAAAUUUAAAGCCAUCUAAUAAAAAUAAAUAAGGUAUUUAACAUACAAUAUAAUUUAUAUUGGUGCACAAAAAUGCUCUCAAGUGUGUGACGUCUUCGACUCUUGGCUAAAUGCAAGACAGUGUUUAAAGAAAAAGGUGGGACCAUCUUUACUUUGUUUUAAUUUAGGGUAAAUUUCAUAUUUGCUCCCUAAAUUCUUUAGGCGCUUUCAUUUUGUCCUUCUAAUUUAUUUCAUCCCAAGCCGAUCCUAACUUUGAUAAUUUGGUUAUUAAUGUCAAACAACGACUGUCAUCACAAAAGUUGAUACAAAAGCAAUUGACCAUAUUUUGUAGUACAUCUUGAAUUCUUGAUAACUCAUCUACUAGACCAGAACCAACUUUUUUCUUCCCAUGUUUGCCGAAUUUGAAUAUAAAUAAUUUGUAUGAGAAAAGCUCUCAACUAUCUCUCCAUGAAAACACGAACAGAGAUAAGAAACUCUAGUCGCCGACCCCAGCCCACCCUUUUUCUCCUCUUCCCUUCUCUUCUUCCAUUUUUCUCUUAUUUCAAUUUUCUUUUGAGCUUUGUUUCGGUUUUCUUUGAGCUUUGGUCUCAAUAUUUCCUCUCAACUUGUCUCAAAUUUGGGAUUCAUGCCCCUUCCUCAGCGUUCAUCGGUCUUUUUCCACCCUUCCUCUCUUCUAGGCGUGCCUUUGCAAACACAAACCUCCAUCUCCCCCCAUAUUUUCCUUCUACAUCACUUCCUCAUAAUCCAUUGCCACCCCAUCAUGUCCUCUGAUCUGCGAGCUCCAAAAAAAAAAAAUGGAUGCCAAAUCCAUCUCCCUUGCUCACUUCCCCUCCCUCGACCGGCCUUCCAGAAUCCCCUUGAGGCCAAGUGUUAUGCAGCUUCGGCCAAAGUAAGAGUAGUUUACAUACCCCAUUAGCCUCACCUUUUAUCCAUGUGUUACUAUUGUUGUAUAUAUUUGCAGGAAUUGGUGAAAGGGAUUUGGACCAUGUGACUAUUUCUCAGUCAAAGAGUUUUCAAUGAUGAAAUCUGGUUGUUUAUUUUGUCAAAUUAACCACUCAAGUCAUUUAUCCAAUGUUGUUACUUUGGUGGCUACUGGAAUGACGUUCGUGACAACUCUCUGCAUUUGGAAGAUAGAGAUUAAGGUUUUAAUUUUUGUUUAUUUGCUUAUUGGGCUGGCUUUUGUGCAUUUGAAUUCUCCAAUUAUAUUUUAGGUUAUUUUACUUUUCUUUGGAUUGUCGUGUAACUUUUUUUGUACUUAAUGAAUGUUACAACAAAAAAAAGAUAAGAACAAAAAAAAAGGCCUAGGAGUGUAAGCAUUAAUGCAAAGAAUUGGUCAAUUUGAUCUGAAAUUAUUUUUUAUCGCCCCAAAAACUAGCAUAAUCUUAAGCCAUAAUUUGAGGACAAAAAAAGUUUGAGAUUAAAGUGAAAUUGUCUAUUCUAAAGUUGGAAGGGAAUUGGCUUGUUCAUGGCUACAAUCAAGAAAAUGCCCCUUGAUUUCACCUUAUUUGCAAGAAAGCCAUCUGAUUUGGGGCUAUGUUGGAGUCUAAUUAUGAAAAGAUAGGAGGGUAAUUUUGUCCGUAGGAAUUGGGUGCCCUGCUAUACACGUGUUGGGCUGACUAUUACAUCGGGUUGCAUUUGUGGGAUCGACGGCUGUGUGUGGUGGGAUUUGGUAAGGGGAUGGGUUAGAGAGAGCCUUCAGCUUGCAGGGAGGGAUGGAGAGAGAAAGAGAGAGCUUGAAGAAUUCCACAACUUCUCCUGAACAAGGGUUCGCUGUGCAAUUCUAGUUCUCUCUCUAUAAAAAAAAAAUAUGCUUUCGUCGUUCUCGACUUCUUCUUCUAUCUCACAGAGGGUAGGGUUGCUAUCGGUAAGAAGGAAUGGGUGUGAGAUUCGGUGAGAGGAAGGAAGGUGAGGAGUAGGAAGAUGGGCCCAAAUAAAAACUUCCCCCCUUCAUAACCUAUAGACUCAGGACUCAUGGAAUAAUCAUGGAUUAUUGUUGAGGUAAUUUGAUUGUUUCCUCUUUUGUAAGUUCUUUCUGUUAGUUUAUUGUUCUUGAAUUUUAAUUUUUCUCUUUUCCAACUUGGAACUUGGAAGAUUCGACCUCGGGUGAGAGAAUCGUGAUGUGACAAUCAUAUUCUCUCUCACAACUCACAACAAUGAAAUCGCGCAAGGCUUCGUGGAUUGAGGAAUUCCAAAAAUAUGCACUUUCGAGCAAUUCAUAGGCAUUGCUUUUGUCUGAGAUACUUCUUCCACCAGCUGGGUAGGUAUAAAAGCAAUGAUCAACUCUGUUGAUGCAUAAAACCGGAGGGUCUUGGAACAAUGUAAAUCCGACCGUGAAUCUGCAAGAAAGUAAAUAACAUAAGAUGUAUCGUGGUUCACCCCAAUGUUUGGGGUACGUCCACACUGAUAUUGUAUUUCUUUGUUUGUGAGGGAAAAAGAGAGCCUGUAUGUAAGAGUGAGGCUCUGGGGAUCUCAGGCCUAAGAAUUGGCCUCUCCCAAUGAGAAGAGUGAGAAGUCCUUUUAUAGAAUAAGGGCUCCUCACUUAUUACACAUUUGCCCCUUCAUUUAUUACAUAAUUACAUUUGAGUCCCCCAAGUAUUUAUAUGAGAUCUAAAUAUGGAGGCCCUAAGUAUGGUAUAAACAGUAGUCCCCCAAGUCUUCAGUCAAGAGAGACUUUUGGCUGGAGACUUGAAAUUCAGUCCAUGUGUGGGCCGAAGUAACUAGAUGUCGUCUAGAACUGAAUACCCGAUAUGAGGCGGUGCUUAAUGUAAAAUGAUGCUCAACUAGAAGUAGCACAUGUUGCGAGGCUGCUUUGCUUAUGGCUUAUGUUGCCUUGGUUGGCUCGACUUGUGGUGUUGAAGGUGAGGGAAUCCCUUUUAUAGAAUACGGGCUCGCUCCUUA